UGGGGAAUUUUGGACAAUGGGCGCAAGCCUGAUCCAGCAAUGCCGCGUGCAGGAUGAAGGCCUUCGGGUUGUAAACUGCUUUUGUACGGAGCGAAAAGGUCUGCCAUAAUACGGUGGGCUCAUGACGGUACUGUAAGAAUAAGCACCGGUUAACUACGUGCCAGUAGCCGUGGUAAUACGUAGGGUGCGAGCGUUAAUCGGAAUUACUGGGCGUAAAGCGUGCGCAGGCGGUUAUAUAAGACAGAGGUGAAAUCCCGGAGCUCAACCGUGGAACUGCCAUUGUGACUGCAUAGCUAGAGUACGGUAGAGGGGGAUGGAAUUCCGCGUGUAGCAGUGAAAUGCAUAGAUAUGCGGAGGAACACCGAUAGCGAAGGCAAUCCCCUAGACCUGUACUGACGCUCAUGCACGAAAGCGUGGGGAGCAAACA
This 427-nucleotide ribosomal RNA is filed under the name uncultured bacterium. RNAcentral describes it as "bacterial SSU rRNA". It matches the Rfam family "Bacterial small subunit ribosomal RNA", at positions 355 to 774 of the family's 1533-position model. The record is from RNAcentral.